RNAcentral lists this ribosomal RNA (497 nucleotides) under uncultured bacterium. RNAcentral describes it as "partial 16S ribosomal RNA". It matches the Rfam family "Bacterial small subunit ribosomal RNA", at positions 28 to 507 of the family's 1533-position model. The record is from RNAcentral.
GAUGAACGCUGGCGGCGUGCCUAAUACAUGCAAGUCGAGCGAACAGACGAGGAGCUUGCUCCUCUGACGUUAGCGUCGGACGGGUGAGUAACACGUGGAUAACCUACCUAUAAGACUGGGAUAACUUCGGGAAACCGGAGCUAAUACCGGAUAAUAUAUUGAACCGCAUGGUUCAAUAGUGAAAGACGGUUUUGCUGUCACUUAUAGAUGGAUCCGCGCCGCAUUAGCUAGUUGGUAAGGUAACGGCUUACCAAGGCAACGAUGCGUAGCCGACCUGAGAGGGUGAUCGGCCACACUGGAACUGAGACACGGUCCAGACUCCUACGGGAGGCAGCAGUAGGGAAUCUUCCGAAAUGGGCGAAAGCUUGACGGAGCAACGCCGCGUGAGUGAUGAAGGUCUUCGGAUCGUAAAACUCUGUUAUUAGGGAAGAACAAAUGUGUAAGUAACUAUGCACGUCUUGACGGUACCUAAUCAGAAAGCCACGGCUAACUACGUG